GACGAACGCCGGCGGCGUGCUUAACACAUGCAAGUCGAACGGUAAGGCCCUCCGGGGUACACGAGUGGCGAACGGGUGAGUAACACGUGGGUGAUCUGCCCUGCACUUCGGGAUAAGCCUGGGAAACUGGGUCUAAUACCGGAUAGGACUCCGGACUGCAUGGUCUGGGGUGGAAAGCGUUUGCGGUGUGGGAUGGGCCCGCGGCCUAUCAGCUUGUUGGUGGGGUGAUGGCCUACCAAGGCGACGACGGGUAGCCGGCCUGAGAGGGUGACCGGCCACGCUGGGGCUGAGCUACGGCCCAGACUCCUACGGGAGGCAGCAGUGGGGAAUAUUGCACAAUGGGCGCAAGCCUGAUGCAGCGACGCCGCGUGAGGGAUGACGGCCUUCGGGUUGUAAACCUCUUUCAGCAUCGACGAAGCGAAAGUGACGGUAGGUGCAGAAGAAGGACCGGCCAACUACGUGCCAGCCGCCGCGGUAA
RNAcentral lists this ribosomal RNA (478 nucleotides) under uncultured bacterium. Its description in RNAcentral is "partial 16S ribosomal RNA". It matches the Rfam family "Bacterial small subunit ribosomal RNA", at positions 28 to 523 of the family's 1533-position model. The record is from RNAcentral.